GAGUUUGAUCCUGGCUCAGGAUGAACGCUGGCGGCGUGCUUAACACAUGCAAGUCGAACGGGAAAUAUUUCAUUGAGACUUCGGUGGAUUUGAUCUAUUUCUAGUGGCGGACGGGUGAGUAACGCGUGGGUAACCUGCCUUAUACAGGGGGAUAACAGUCAGAAAUGGCUGCUAAUACCGCAUAAGCGCACAGAGCUGCAUGGCUCAAUGUGAAAAACUCCGGUGGUAUAAGAUGGACCCGCGUUGGAUUAGCUAGUUGGCAGGGCAAACGGCCCACCAAGGCGACGAUCCAUAGCCGGCCUGAGAGGGUGAACGGCCACAUUGGGACUGAGACACGGCCCAGACUCCUACGGGAGGCAGCAGUGGGGAAUAUUGCACAAUGGGGGAAACCCUGAUGCAGCGACGCCGCGUGAAGGAAGAAGUAUCUCGGUAUGUAAACUUCUAUCAGCAGGGAAGAUAGUGACGGUACCUGACUAAGAAGCCCCGGCUAACUACGUGCCAGCCGCCGCGGUAAUUC
Molecule: ribosomal RNA, 517 nt
Filed under: uncultured bacterium
Lineage: Bacteria
Description: bacterial SSU rRNA
Rfam family: Bacterial small subunit ribosomal RNA
Source: RNAcentral